Molecule: unclassified non-coding RNA, 733 nt
Filed under: uncultured Prochlorococcus sp.
Lineage: Bacteria; Bacillati; Cyanobacteriota; Cyanophyceae; Synechococcales; Prochlorococcaceae
Description: partial 16S-23S ribosomal RNA intergenic spacer; may also contain 16S ribosomal RNA and 23S ribosomal RNA
Rfam family: tRNA (bases 343-415)
Source: RNAcentral
UUGUGGAGAAGGACGCCGAAGGUGGGGCUGAUGACUGGGGUGAAGUCGUAACAAGGUAGCCGUACCGGAAAGUGCGGCUGGAUCACCUCCUAACAGGGAGACAAUAAAUUGAUUGUGAUGUCUUAGUUUUUAUUCUUAGGCCGCAAUCCUGUCACCUUAAGGUCGAUCGGUACCUCAGAUUUUAGAAUUAAUUUUAUAAUUUAUUCUUUUAUUUCAGUUCCUAAACUUGUCUAGGUCACACCCAACAAAGGUUUCUCCUGGGCCAUUAGCUCAGGUGGUUAGAGCGCACCCCUGAUAAGGGUGAGGUCCCUGGUUCAAGUCCAGGAUGGCCCAUUCGUUGUUGGGGGUAUAGCUCAGUUGGUAGAGCGCCUGCUUUGCAAGCAGGAUGUCAGCGGUUCGAGUCCGCUUACCUCCACUGAUAACUAUCCUGAUAACUAAAUCUGGAGAAAAAUUUGUAGAUGUGACUUAGAAUUGUCUAUUGAAAAGAACCUAGCUUCUUAUCAUCUUAUAUAUAGUUGAUAACAUGCUGGGCUCCCAUGGAUUAAUUUCAUGAGAUUUCAGUAGAACCUUGAAAACUGCAUAGAUUAGAAAGAAUAAAGCAUCUCAUGGAUGCAUAAUUCUGGUUUUGUAAUUUAGCCUUAAAACUAAAUUAUAAUAACAAGAAUUCAUGUUUAAUUCUUGAGUAAAAGCCGAUCACAAUUGAUUUUUUGAUUGUAUUAAGGUCAAGCUACAA